UACCCCUAGCAAAUCUCAAAAAACCGGUCUCAGUUCGGAUUGGAGUCUGCAAUUCGACUCCAUGAAGCUGGAAUCGCUAGUAAUCGCGGAUCAGCACGCCGCGGUGAAUACGUUCCCGGGCCUUGUACACACCGCCCGUCACACCAUGGGAGCUGAUUCAACCAGAAGACGGUAUAGCUAACCGCAAGGAGGCUGCCGGCGAAGGUGGGGUCAGCGACUGGGGUGAAG
This 228-nucleotide ribosomal RNA is filed under the name uncultured Nitrobacter sp. RNAcentral describes it as "partial 16S ribosomal RNA". It matches the Rfam family "Bacterial small subunit ribosomal RNA", at positions 1259 to 1485 of the family's 1533-position model. The record is from RNAcentral. Lineage: Bacteria; Pseudomonadati; Pseudomonadota; Alphaproteobacteria; Hyphomicrobiales; Nitrobacteraceae.